RNAcentral lists this ribosomal RNA (460 nucleotides) under uncultured bacterium. RNAcentral's name for it is "partial 16S ribosomal RNA". It matches the Rfam family "Bacterial small subunit ribosomal RNA", at positions 338 to 795 of the family's 1533-position model. The record is from RNAcentral.
CCUACGGGAGGCAGCAGUGAGGAAUAUUGGUCAAUGGACGAGAGUCUGAACCAGCCAAGUAGCGUGAAGGAUGACUGCCCUAUGGGUUGUAAACUUCUUUUAUAUGGGAAUAAAAUGUUCCACGUGUGGGAUUUUGUAUGUACCAUAUGAAUAAGGAUCGGCUAACUCCGUGCCAGCAGCCGCGGUAAUACGGAGGAUCCGAGCGUUAUCCGGAUUUAUUGGGCUUAACGGGAGCGUAGGUGGAUUGUUAAGUCAGUUGUGAAAGUUUGCGGCUCAACCGUAAAAUUGCAGUUGAAACUGGCAGUCGUGAGUACAGUAGAGGUGGGCGGAAUUCGUGGUGUAGCGGUGAAAUGCUUAGAUAUCACGAAGAACUCCGAUUGCGAAGGCAGCUCACUGGACUGCAACUGACACUGAGGCUCGAAAGUGUGGGUAUCAAACAGGAUUAGAUACCCCAGUAGUC